CCCUUAGAUGUUCUGGGCUGCACGCGCGCUACACUGAUGCGUUCAACGAGUUUAUGACCUUGCCCGAUAGGGUUGGGUAAUCUUUUUAAAUCGCAUCGUGAUGGGGAUCGAUUAUUGUAAUUAUUAAUCUUCAACGAGGAAUUCCUAGUAAGCAUGUGUCAUCAGCCCGUGCUGAUUACGUCCCUGCCCUUUGUACACACCGCCCGUCGCUCCUACCGAUUGAGUGGUCCGGUGAAGCCUCCGGAUUGGCGCGCACCUCGGUGCCGCCGAGAAGUUGGCUAAACCUUACCAUUUAGAGGAAGGUGAAGUCGUANCA
Molecule: ribosomal RNA, 316 nt
Filed under: uncultured eukaryote
Lineage: Eukaryota
Description: partial 18S ribosomal RNA
Rfam family: Eukaryotic small subunit ribosomal RNA
Source: RNAcentral